This 461-nucleotide ribosomal RNA is filed under the name uncultured bacterium. RNAcentral's name for it is "partial 16S ribosomal RNA". It matches the Rfam family "Bacterial small subunit ribosomal RNA", at positions 29 to 507 of the family's 1533-position model. The record is from RNAcentral.
GUGAACGCUGGCGGCGUGCCUAAUACAUGCAAGUCGAACGGAGAUUAAGUAGCUUGCUAUUUAAUCUUAGUGGCGCACGGGUGAGUAAUAUCUAGCUAACUUGCCCAUUACUAAGGGACAACAGUUGGAAACGACUGCUAAUACCUUAUACUCCGUAUCUAUAUAAGUAGAUACGGGAAAGUUUUUCGGUAAUGGAUAGGGCUAUAUCGUAUCAGCUAGUUGGUAAGGUAAUGGCUUACCAAGGCUAUGACGCGUAACUGGUCUGAGAGGAUGAUCAGUCACACUGGAACUGAGACACGGUCCAGACUCCUACGGGAGGCAGCAGUAGGGAAUAUUGCUCAAUGGGGGAAACCCUGAAGCAGCAACGCCGCGUGGAGGAUGACACUUUUCGGAGCGUAAACUCCUUUUCUUGGGAAAGAAUUAUGACGGUACCCAAGGAAUAAGCACCGGCUAACUCCGUG